UACGGAGGGUGCAAGCGUUAUCCGGAUUUACUGGGUGUAAAGGGCGUGUAGGCGGGUUUGCAAGUCGGGUGUGAAAGAUCCAGGCUUAACUUGGAGAGGUCAUCCGAAACUGCAGAUCUUGAGUGCUGGAGAGGAUAGUGGAAUUCCUGGUGUAGCGGUAAAAUGCGUAGAUAUCAGGAGGAACACCAGUGGCGAAGGCGGCUAUCUGGACAGUAACUGACGCUGAGGCGCGAAAGCGUGGGGAGCAAACAGGAUUAGAUA
This 261-nucleotide ribosomal RNA is filed under the name uncultured prokaryote. RNAcentral's name for it is "partial 16S ribosomal RNA". It matches the Rfam family "Bacterial small subunit ribosomal RNA", at positions 524 to 784 of the family's 1533-position model. The record is from RNAcentral.